CAACUUUAUUUUGUGAAAAAAGGAGAUGGUGUGGUCGGCGAGUAGGGCGCGUAAGGUUGGGUUAGAAAAGAGGUGGGGCGUGCCGGCCGGCGGGGGUAGAGCACCAGUCUCGCCAAAGCGAAUAAAAGGGGACAACUAAUGGGUUGUUUCGUGGCCUUAGCAAAGGAAGAGUGAAGUCAAAGAGGGGGUGGUAUUUAGAAAGGGGUUAGGAGCACCACACCGCCGACCUGCCGUUAGAGGAGCGCAGUUAAGGCGGCAACAAUGAGGGGAAGCUACGGAGGGACGCGCUACACUGCGCCCGCCUCGACGCCAAGGUAGCGGCGGGUGGCUCUUGUAACUCAACGCGUUGGUUUAGUCCAACACACGUGAGGUAGUGAGACGAGUACUGGGAGGAGCGCGGCCUUCGUCGGUAGGGACGGCGCCGCGAGCUAGACUUUUUAUCAAGCGCAAGGCCGUCCUCCUCGAGCGGUUCCUCUUCGACGACCCUGCCAUCCGUAGGUGCUCCCGGCGGACAAGGAGAAGAUGUUCCGGGGGGUCCUCACCAGUAGGGUGCAAAUCCGGCUGGCGGAGGGGCGGAGGAACGACGUCCAGUAUUCGGAUUGGGCUUGUUCUGGCACUCGUAGAGGAGAGGAAGAGGGAGGGAGAACUAAACGAAAUACUCACGGAACUAAACUACAUCACUACACUGUAGGCAUAGGGGAGAGGAGAGACGACCUCGCCGUUUCCAGUCGGAUGGCCAGCGACGAUGCCCAACUACAAAGAUAGUGAUAACAGAGUCAACCACCUCAUCAUGUAGAUCGUAGUAUCUAAAAGAGAAAUCACCAUCUACACUGUAGUCAGAGCGGUGGGGUGUAGGAUUAGUUCAGGGUCCGGGCUGCUCAGGAUCACACGAAGGCCAUUUAUACACAAGGAGAAGUCACACACAAGGAAGAGGUAGGAAUAUAACGUAAUUGUCUAACUUCAGUUCAGCGUACAUAUAAGCCGCACAAGGUACACCAUCUACGUACAGGCGAUCGUAGUAGCAGUCCAAAGGAACCAACAAAUUACCUAAUUCAAGGUACCAUAUUAUUUUUAGUUAAAGCGAACAUACUGCUCGACGAUAAAAUAGAGUAACACAAAACGGAGUCACAGAGUGGCCUUGUUGAAACAAAUUCAUUUAAGAGAAGAACUGGAAUGUAUAGAGAACUCAUAUAAUAAUGACCUAGUAACUGGUGACAACAACAUGAUAUAUGCUCGAAAUCCAUGCGACUUCCGUACGGGUAACUUGACGGUACGGUAAAAUAAAAGUCAUUGUCACCCAUACAGUACAUGUGUAUGAAAAGACUGAUAGUUUAGUUUGUCUCUAACCCAAAAACUCGAUGUAUAGGCCGAUAGGCGCGGAGUUCGGGAGCGGCUCAACUGUCUACCAAACCUGGAAAGAACUAAUUACGUUGAGGCAAUUUAAAGUCGCAAGGACGAAAGUGUAAAUAACGUUUAUACCUCCCAACAACUAAUAAAGAAGUCCAUAUAUACAAAACGUUCUAAAGUCAGCUCUAGCUCAUAUCGUCAAAGAGACAGUUACUAAAGUUUAUAGUUUUGGAAACGUGGGGCAACCGUGGUGUACAGAAAUAUUGUAAUAGGUAAGUAAUUCAGGUAAAUGUAUAUUUGUACCUUACAAGAGUUUCUAUUAGAGAAAAAAAAAAGUCUCAUAAGAGUUUCUAUUAGAGUUGCGGUGUGUAUGCUAGUAUAUCAAGAACUGAGUUGGUUUACUUCGUUAAAGUAAUCUCAUCUAUAAAAUGAUUUACCGUAAGUACAAUUAGGAAAGUACGUGCAGUCGUAUACAGCAUGGUGGUGGUCUAUCGGUUGUAAAAAAAGAAAGGAAUUACACGUGGAGGGUCAAUCAACUAACCGUUCAAAAUCAAGAGUAUGAUAAUUAAGUUGAUAAGUGUAAAGCACAUUGAUUUAGAGUGACUUGAUACAAUGUUCGUUAAGGUCGUCGUUGCGCGCCCCAUAGUAGAUCAAUGUCUGUUUCACUACCGUAGUGUUAAUCGCAAUCCUUGACGUACACUACCACUUUCAGAUUAUUUUUCUACGCCGUGACGUAAGGAAACCAGUCGCCACAAGUAUAAAAACGUUGAGUAAGAGAACCUGCACUAAUGGUUUAUCGGACAGGACAUGACUAUACCAUAACUAAUACUUGCACUAACUAAGGAAAUAAAAUUAAAUAUCAAACAAUGGUUUAUGAUUGCACUAACUAAGGAAGGAAAACUAACUAACUAAGGAAGGAAGGAAAAUUUGCACUAACCUAAUGGUACUAAACGAUGGUUAAUGGUUUCUACUUUGUAGCCGCCCUCGAGAACUGUUCCUCUAACCUGCUUGUAUUCUUUCCUCUCCCUUGGAAUGCCAAGAAAAUCCAUCAUCUCUAAAGUCUGUAUUUUUAUCUUGCAUUAUUUUAUAUAUUAGCGCAUUUUUUAUAAAAUACAAUGUAUUUUAAUGUUUACAUUUUCGUAUCACAUUUUAUAUGUAUUUUACAUUAAAAAAGAUCAGAAUACUGGAUAUAAAAAAGAAUACAGUUUAAAAUGCGUCAUUUAGUUAAGCAUAAAUUGAUAAAUAUAUUUUCCAGAUAAGUAGUUGCCCCACGUC
RNAcentral lists this ribosomal RNA (2622 nucleotides) under Triticum aestivum (bread wheat). RNAcentral describes it as "partial small subunit ribosomal RNA". Lineage: Eukaryota; Viridiplantae; Streptophyta; Magnoliopsida; Poales; Poaceae. The record is from RNAcentral.